UGCAGCUAUAUUAUGUUGAAGCAGCAGUUCUCCUAUGAUCACCAAAGUUAAGCAAUGUUGAACCUGGUCAGUAUCUAAAUGGGUGACCACUUGGGAAUACCAGGUGCUGUAAG
Non-coding RNA from Acanthosepion pharaonis, 113 nucleotides. Lineage: Eukaryota; Metazoa; Mollusca; Cephalopoda; Sepiida; Sepiidae. The record is from the annotation of a GenBank genome assembly.